AUUGAACGCUGGCGGCAGGCCUAACACAUGCAAGUCGAGCGGAUGAAGGGAGCUUGCUCCUGGAUUCAGCGGCGGACGGGUGAGUAAUGCCUAGGAAUCUGCCUGGUAGUGGGGGAUAACGUCCGGAAACGGGCGCUAAUACCGCAUACGUCCUGAGGGAGAAGGUGGGGGAUCUUCGGACCUCACGCUAUCAGAUGAGCCUAGGUCGGAUUAGCUAGUUGGUGGGGUAAAGGCCUACCAAGGCGACGAUCCGUAACUGGUCUGAGAGGAUGAUCAGUCACACUGGAACUGAGACACGGUCCAGACUCCUACGGGAGGGAGCAGUGGGGAAUUUUGGACAAUGGGCGGAAGCCUUAUCCAGCCAUGCCGCGUGGUUGGAGAAGGUCUUCGGAUUUUAAAACACUUUAAGUUGGGAGGAAGGGCAGUAAGUUAAUACCUUGCUGUUUUGACGUUACCAACAGAAUAAGCACCGGCUAACUUCGUG
Molecule: ribosomal RNA, 484 nt
Filed under: uncultured bacterium
Lineage: Bacteria
Description: partial 16S ribosomal RNA
Rfam family: Bacterial small subunit ribosomal RNA
Source: RNAcentral